RNAcentral lists this ribosomal RNA (1152 nucleotides) under Triticum aestivum (bread wheat). Its description in RNAcentral is "partial small subunit ribosomal RNA". The record is from RNAcentral. Lineage: Eukaryota; Viridiplantae; Streptophyta; Magnoliopsida; Poales; Poaceae.
AUGCUCCGCCUCCACAAGUGCAUCCUCACCCAGCUGCUCCCUCGUACCUCUGCCUCCACCUCCCCACUCCACCGUCUCAUCUCCGCCGCCGCGCCCGCCGCAUCCCCAGGCCCCAGCUUCGCCGUGGAGGACUACCUCGUCGCCACCUGCGGCCUCACCCGAGCGCAGGCGCUCAAGGCCUCCACGAAGCUCUCCCACCUCAAGUCGCCAGCCAAUCCCGACGCCGUCCGCUCCUUCCUCGCCGGUCUCGGCCUCUCCACCGCCCACGUCGCAGCGCUCGUCGCCAAGGACCCCAAGUUCCUCUGCGCAAGCGUGGAGAGGACCCUGGCUCCCGUCGCCGUCGGGCUCGCCGGCCUCGGCCUCUCGCGUCCCGGAGUCGCGCGGCUCGUCUCGCUCGCCGGCGAGUUCUUCCGCGGCAGAUCCGUCGCCUCGAGGCUGGCCUACUUCCUCUUCCUCUUCGGCUCCUACGAGGACCUCCUCCGGGUGCUCAAGCACAGCCCCAAUCUCCUCGGAUGCGACCUCGACCGGGUCAUCAAGCCCAACGUCGCCUUCCUGCGGGAGUGCGGGCUAGGUGCUUGCGAUAUUGUCAGGCUGUGCAACCGUGUGCCAUGGCUGCUCGGCAAUAACCCGGAGCGCGUCCGGGCGAUAGUGGCGUGCGCCGAAGGGCUCGGUGUGCCCCGUGGAUCGGGGAUGUUCGGGCAAGCGCUGCAAGCUGUCGCAUUCCUCACCCAGGAGAAAAUCACCGCCAAGGUCGAGCACUUGAAGAAGAUGUUCCGGUGGUCGGAUGCCGAGGUGGGCAUUGCUGUUUCUAAGGCUCCGGCGGUGCUGCUGAAGGCCAAAGAAUCGCUGCAGCGCAGGUCCGAGUUCCUCAUCUCCGAGGUGGGGUUGGAACCUGCAUACAUUGCUUUUCGUCCAGCAAUGCUCAUGUACAGCUUGGAGGGCAGGAUCAGACCCCGGUACUACGUUGUAAAGUUUCUCAAGGAAAAUGGAUUGCUAAAUCAUGACCGGGACUACUAUAAUACAAUCGUGAUCAGCGAGAAGGUAUUUAUGGACAAGUUCAUAUGCCCUCACAAGAAAUCUGCACCGCACCUUGCUGAAGACUAUGCAGCAGCUUGCAGAGGGGAAGUGUCCGUGAGAUUCAUAUCUGCAUGA